CCUACGGGAGGCAGCAGUGGGGAAUAUUGCACAAUGGCGGAAACGCUGAUGCAGCGACGCCGCGUGAGUGAGGAAGUAUUUCGGUAUGUAAAGCUCUAUCAGCAGGGAAGAAAAUGACGGUACCUGACUAAGAAGCCCCGGCUAACUACGUGCCAGCAGCCGCGGUAAUACGUAGGGGGCAAGCGUUAUCCGGAUUUACUGGGUGUAAAGGGAGCGUAGACGGCUAAUCAAGUCAGAAGUGAAAACCUAGGGGUCAAAUUUGGGACUGCUUGUGAAACUCAGUAGCUAGAGUGCAGGAGAGGUAAGCGGAAUGCGUAGGGUAGCGGUGAAAUGCGUAGAUAUUAGGAGGAACACCAGUGGCGAAGGCGGCUUACUGUACUGUAACUGACGUUGAGGCUCGAAAGCGUGGGGAGCAAACAGGAUUAGAUACCCGGGUAGUC
RNAcentral lists this ribosomal RNA (440 nucleotides) under uncultured bacterium. Its description in RNAcentral is "partial 16S ribosomal RNA". It matches the Rfam family "Bacterial small subunit ribosomal RNA", at positions 338 to 795 of the family's 1533-position model. The record is from RNAcentral.